RNAcentral lists this ribosomal RNA (274 nucleotides) under uncultured bacterium. RNAcentral describes it as "partial 16S ribosomal RNA". It matches the Rfam family "Bacterial small subunit ribosomal RNA", at positions 523 to 796 of the family's 1533-position model. The record is from RNAcentral.
AUACGGAGGGUGCGAGCGUUAAUCGGAAUUACUGGGCGUAAAGCGCGCGUAGGCGGAUAAUUAAGUCAGAUGUGAAAUCCCCGGGCUCAACCUGGGAACUGCAUUUGAUACUGAUUAACUAGAGUAUGAUAGAGGUGAGUGGAAUUUCCGGUGUAGCGGUGAAAUGCGUAGAGAUCGGAAGGAACACCAGUGGCGAAGGCGACUCACUGGGCCAUUACUGACGCUGAGGUGCGAAAGCGUGGGUAGCAAACAGAAUUAGAUACCCUAGUAGUCC